This 1964-nucleotide long non-coding RNA is filed under the name Bemisia tabaci. Its description in RNAcentral is "lncRNA ENSSSA3NGG006885". The record is from RNAcentral. Lineage: Eukaryota; Metazoa; Arthropoda; Insecta; Hemiptera; Aleyrodidae.
CCUUCUCUCAGUGCCAAUUCACAAACAGCUAAUCAUGUAAGUCUUUCUUAUUUGUCGUGACAAAACUAUCGGCCAAUAUUUUCUUUUUCAUCAAAACCUGGAAAAUAUAAAAUACGUAAAAUUUUGAAAUAUGUUAAGAGUAAAACAGAUGCAAUCAGACAGUUUUAGUCGGAGUAAAAACAAUCUGUUUUUAUUAUAUGCCUUAAGUUUCUUGUUUUUGCUACGCACUAAGUGAAUUACUUUGCUAUCAGGAGUCGUUUAGAGUUCUGUUUGUUCUCUAAAGUUAGGUACCAUUUAAGCGUUUUCAAAAGUCUGGAGAAGUCUGUGGCGUUAGAUACUUAAUAAUUAUUAUUGCUAUCAUUAAUAUCCCCUCUUUUCAGCUAACAUUUAAAAAAUACUUUUUCCCCAUAUUUUUUAAUAAUCAUUCUCACAACUCACUUUUUUAUUUUAAUUUCAAUGAAUCAAUAUGUUUAAUAAAAUCUGAUUGCAACAUUCAGAAUGGUGUAUCAAAUGGCCAUGGAGUUCACCUCAAUGGAACUGCAAUGCAGCGGAACUCAGGCACCCAGCCGAAGAGCCAGUCACGCCUCCUACAACUAACACCCAGAAGUUCUCCAACCGUGCUUCACCUUUCAUGAAUGGUUCAGCCGAAAAGCAGUCAAGACCAGACAAACCGGAGCGAAGCUGAAUAGCCGAGAACUCAUAGAGAAGCAGAGGAAUUGGACCUCCCAUUUCUCCAAGUCUAGGAGCAGCACAUCAAGGUCCAACAGUGAUCCAAGUAAAUUCGACCUGAAAACAACGCCUCUGCGAACGCCUGUUGAUAACUCGGCUGCUGCCGUCAGGAGUUCAUCCUUUACCUCUCCGCGUUUACGCUCCCCUCCACCAUCCUCUCCUCCUCCCCCACCGCCAAGUAGCCGUUCGCCAGUUAAACUGUCUCGCACAACAGAGUCAACCAAAGCCACGCUGCCCACGCCAAAGUCCCAUGAUAAAGAAACGUUAGAGGAUAAGGAGGCUCAUUCACCUUCUAAGUGCAAGUAAGUUAGCUCCUAGAUUUUUUAAAAAACAGAAUCAGAAUGGUUUAUUUAAUUUCAAAAUUUGUUUAAAAAUAGUACGAACCCUUGAAAUUCCAUUUUUUUUCAUUCAAUCACUAGUUGUAAAUUCGGAAAUGUACGGGAACAAAACUAAACUGCUCGGAGCAAGGUUGCUAAACCUGCGGAGUCUCUUAUCGGGUCGGGUCUCUACUUAAAUUGUAACUAUUCAUUAAAGAUGGCUGGAUUCUGUUAUUUUUCAUCUUUAUUGUUUAAAAUUUUUGUUUUUUUUUUGAGAAACCGAAAAGUUUAUAUUAAAUUUUUGAAGAAAAAGUACAAGUUCCACAAAAGAUUAGUCACACUGCACCUGAAGGGCUGAAUAGGUGUUGCGUGGAGCUCACACGGGUCGAAAGUGGAAUAGACCCAGAAUAACGGGUAGCACACGCUUUUAUAGACUUGAUGACGUCACGGGUGGUGAGACUUCAAGUCUAUUCGCGAUUGGCUAGCUAUAAUCAGUGGAGCUAUCAGUUGCAAGUCUAGUCAUUAAUUUCAUGGGUGAUGGCUGGAUGAUAGGAUUGAAAAGAUGAAAAAUGAACGGAAUCCAGCCAUCCUUAAUGACUAGUUAGAAUUUAAAUGAAAAUGAGGUUACAGUGAUUACAGGACCUGUGACUGGGAGCUUGUGUUUAUCCUGAAAUUGAAGAGGAGCAAAGAGCUAAUUUUAAACGGCUCAAGUUCCUUGCACAGUCAUAUUUAUGAGACUCAAAAUCCUCUCUUUUAUUAUUCUCCUUUGAAAAUGUAAUUUACAGGAAUUUUAAAUCUAGCAAGUAUCAGAUGGUUUGUUACCUAUUGCGAUUCUUACAAAAACCCUUGAAAAAAACAGGCUUGUAUUUAGAAAGGGUCGUUAUUUCUUUUUAUUUUUCCUAAUUUAUCAUAGGUACC